UGUUGUCGCUUAAACCGCUUGA
RNAcentral lists this non-coding RNA (22 nucleotides) under Arabidopsis thaliana (thale cress). The record is from RNAcentral. Lineage: Eukaryota; Viridiplantae; Streptophyta; Magnoliopsida; Brassicales; Brassicaceae.